CCUGAUUACCCAUAGGAGGUCCAGCCUGCCCAGUGACUAAGUUAAACGGCCGCGGUACCCUAACCGUGCAAAGGUAGCGCAAUCACUUGUUCUUUAAAUGAGGACUAGUAUGAACGGCAUCACGAGGGUUAUGCUGUCUCCCUACUCUAUUCAGUGAAACUGAUCUCCCCGUGAAGAAGCGGGGAUAAAGAUAUAAGACGAGAAGACCCCAUGGAGCUUUAAACUCAGUACCAACUGCCCUCACAAUAACCUAUUACCCUUGCAGCCAUGGUUACUAGUUUUCGGUUGGGGUGACCACGGAGUAAAAUUUAACCUCCACGAUGAAAGGAACUAAUAUCCUAACCUAUGAGCUACAGCUCUAAGUAUCAACAAAUUGACCAAUUGACCCAAUUACUUGAUCAACGGACCA
Molecule: ribosomal RNA, 409 nt
Filed under: Microhyla fissipes (ornate chorus frog)
Lineage: Eukaryota; Metazoa; Chordata; Amphibia; Anura; Microhylidae
Description: partial 16S ribosomal RNA
Rfam family: Bacterial large subunit ribosomal RNA
Source: RNAcentral